UACGUAGGGAGCAAGCGUUGUUCGGAUUUACUGGGCGUAAAGGGCGCGUAGGCGGCCACCGCAAGUCGACUGUGAAAUCUCCGGGCUUAACCCGGAAAGGUCAGCCGAUACUGCGGGGCUAGAGUGCAGAAGGGGCAACUGGAAUUCUCGGUGUAGCGGUGAAAUGCGUAGAUAUCGAGAGGAACACCUGCGGCGAAGGCGGGUUGCUGGGCUGACACUGACGCUGAAGCGCGAAAGCUAGGGGAGCGAACGGG
RNAcentral lists this ribosomal RNA (254 nucleotides) under uncultured bacterium. Its description in RNAcentral is "partial 16S ribosomal RNA". It matches the Rfam family "Bacterial small subunit ribosomal RNA", at positions 524 to 776 of the family's 1533-position model. The record is from RNAcentral.